RNAcentral lists this ribosomal RNA (460 nucleotides) under uncultured bacterium. RNAcentral describes it as "partial 16S ribosomal RNA". It matches the Rfam family "Bacterial small subunit ribosomal RNA", at positions 338 to 795 of the family's 1533-position model. The record is from RNAcentral.
CCUACGAGUGGCAGCAGUGAGGAAUAUUGGUCAAUGGGCGCGAGCCUGAACCAGUCAAGUAGCGUGAAGGAUGACUGCCCUACGGGUUGUAAACUUCUUUUAUAAAGGAAUAAACUGCGGCACGUGUGCCUUUUUGUAUGUACUUUAUGAAUAAGGAUCGGCUAACUCCGUGCCAGCAGCCGCGUGAAUGCGGAGGAUCCGGGCGUUAUCCGGAUUUAUUGGGUUUAAAGGGAGCGUAGAUGGGUUGUUAAGUCAGUUGUGAAAGUUUGCGGCUCAACCGUAAAAUUGCCAUGGAUACUGGCAGCCUUGAGUACAGUUGAGGUAGGCGGAAUUCGUGGUGUAGCGGUGAAAUGCUUAGAUAUCACGAAGAACUCCGAUGGCGAAGGCAGCUUACUAAACUGCCACUGACAUUGAUGCUCGAAAGUGUGGGUAUCAAACAGGAUUAGAUACCCUUGUAGUC